ACACGAGUGGCGAACGGGUGAGUAACACGUGAGCAACCUGCCUCUGACUUUGGGAUAACAGUAGGAAACUGCUGCUAAUACCGGAUAUCACCUCCUUCUGCAUGGUGGGGGGUUGAAAGCUUUUGCGGUCAGGGAUGGGCUCGCGGCCUAUCAGCUUGUUGGUGAGGUAACGGCUCACCAAGGCUUCGACGGGUAGCCGGCCUGAGAGGGCGACCGGCCACACUGGGACUGAGAUACGGCCCAGACUCCUACGGGAGGCAGCAGUGGGGAAUAUUGCACAAUGGGCGGAAGCCUGAUGCAGCAACGCCGCGUGCGGGAUGACGGCCUUCGGGUUGUAAACCGCUUUCACUCAUGACGAAGCGCAAGUGACGGUAGUGAGAGAAGAAGCACCGGCCAACUACGUGCCAGCAGCCGCGGUGAUACGUAGGGUGCGAGCGUUGUCCGGAAUUAUUGGGCGUAAAGAGCUCGUAGGCGGUCUGUCACGUCGGAAGUGAAAACUCAGGGCUCAACCCUGAGCCUGCUUCCGAUACGGGCAGACUUGAGGAAGGUAGGGGAGAACGGAAUUCCUGGUGGAGCGGUGGAAUGCUCAGAUAUCAGGAGGAACACCGGUGGCGAAGGCGGUUCUCUGGACCUUUCCUGACGCUGAGGAGCGAAAGCGUGGGGAGCAAACAGGCUUAGAUACCCUGGUAGUCCACGCCGUAAACGGUGGGCACUAGGUGUGGGGGACAUUCCACGUUCUCCGUGCCGUAGCUAACGCAUUAAGUGCCCCGCCUGGGGAGUACGGCCGCAAGGCUAAAACUCAAAGGAAUUGACGGGGGCCCGCACAAGCGGCGGAGCAUGCGGAUUAAUUCGAUGCAACGCGAGAACCUUUACCUGGGUUUGACAUAUGCCGGAAGCUGCAGAGAUGUAGCCCCCCGCAGGUCGGUAUACAGUGGGUGCAUGGCUGUCGUCAGCUCGUGUCGUGAGAUGUUGGGG
Molecule: ribosomal RNA, 975 nt
Filed under: Auraticoccus sp. J6903
Lineage: Bacteria; Bacillati; Actinomycetota; Actinomycetes; Propionibacteriales; Propionibacteriaceae
Description: bacterial SSU rRNA
Rfam family: Bacterial small subunit ribosomal RNA
Source: RNAcentral